AUUGAUAUCCUUAUCCGUGAUACCCCACAGGUGCAUUCUUAAACCCUACAGCCUCAGAACCAUUGGCGCCGCUCCAAGUCAGUAUUCUCCAAAUGCAAGAUUGCAGCGUUACAUUGCAUUGUGAUACUAAAACCUCACGAUGCUGGAGAGAUACUCGUCAUCGCCAUGAACUCGUUUAGUUUCGGUUUUGACUAACUGCCAUAAAUGAGGGAGGAGUGCUCCAGAAGAUGAAGCGAUGACGGUUCUGCGUAUUGUGCUUCUUGUAGUGUGAGCACCCCAUUCGAGACAUUACUCUCCAUUACACGACGCGCGAAUUCGCCUCCUUUUGAAUUUCAAUGUUUCGUUUUUGGGUUCUGUUAAGCGUUCAAUAUGAAGAGUGAUCGAAAGUCGACGCAGGUGGAUUGUUGCCGGUUUAGCUGUUCGUAAGCGAUUCUGUUUGCUUCAGAUUCCUUGCCGCUCGUCAUUAUCUAGUUAUUGCGAGGUUUGUGUUUCUUUCGGUUGUUUUCAGUUUUUUUCGUCUUUUCUUGAGGAAUUUGUGGAGUUGUAACCGAAGUAGCGUCUCUCUAACGUGAUUUUAGGGUUGAUUAGAAUUAUGAAGCGUAGUGAGGUACAAGUUCUUGCCUCAAUUACUUACAUGCUUUGCCGCGUAGAGGAGACAUUAUUCUUGUAGAUGGUUCCUCUGUCAGGGAGCAAGAAAACUAGACUCAGAAGGGAGUCGAACCGGUUUCAGGGACGCACUUCGUUUCUUCUUUGUUUCAACCUACUCUUAACAGCAAGGGUCAUCUAGAUUUCUUGCGAAGUUCUUGAAUUUUUUGCGAUGUGCACGCUUGAUCGCCCGUUUUGCAAUAUCAGCAUUCUCUGCUGCUGUGGCUUGCGGUUAGUUUUGAUGUUUUAAAUUUAGAUAUUUAUCACAUAUUCCUACUGUCGCUGUUUGAUUUACGUACUUGAUGUAGACGACUGCUUAAGUUUGUGUAGUUGUUUUAUUCUAUUUACUAUCUUUUUUUCUUUCUCUCUGUCAUUCUGCUUGAUUUAGACUCCAUGUCUGUAGUACUUUGAAAUUCGAACUCGUGCUUGAGAAUACUGCAGGGGCCAGCCUCGAGUUCCAUGCCAAGCGGUUCGAAGUAUUGGAAUACUGGAUCGUGACGCAUGUGGAGCGGAAGUCUUACGUUCUAGCAGUGCAUUCUUUGCAAUUUAAGAAGAUUCGAGAGUGUAGGUCAGCUAUGGCAGCCAUCCAUAGGGUGCACUCUAUGGUCUUGUCCAGAACUUUGGGGCGAAUUGCCUCGAAAGCAGGUCACUCAAGCAAUCUGUCAAGGUUGUCGUUAUUUGAAAGUGCAUUAACAGCAAACCAGUUGAAGAGGCAGGCCCGACAUCUUCACGCUGCCAGUCUCUCCAAGCCCAUAGUACGGAAUAAAUCGCAUCGGCACAAGUGUUAUUCGAAGCUGGAAACUCUAGUGGCGCCUGAUGCUCAAGUCUACGAGGAAACUGUUACGCCUGAGAUGUCAAGGGAUAUAGGUCAAAGUCACAUCGAUUGGUGGAGCCAGAAAUUGCAAAAGUGCCGGAAACCGUUGACUAAAGAGAUGAUGAAACGGCUCAAGUUCACAAACCCACUUGGAUUGGACGAGUCACUUCGUGGUGGGAGUCUCAAGAAGGGCACGAAAAGCGCAGAGCUCCUAGAAAUGAAGGCUUCAUUUCCUCGAGAGAUUUUUCUAUGCAGAACAGCAGAUAUCUAUGAAGCUGUUGGGGUGGAUGCCUGCUUGCUGGUUGAGUAUGUCGGGGUAGCCCCUGUGGGGCGGAAAGACUCGGUUCCUAAGGCUGGUUGCCCAGUUGUCAAUCUUCGGCAAGCCAUCGAUGAACUGACUGAAGAGGGAUUUUCCGUCUGUGUUGUUGAGGAGGUGCAAGGAGCAGUGACCGGGCGUGGUCGUCGUAAAGAGCGCUUCAUUGCAGGGCACGCUCAUCCUGGUAGCCCGUUUAUUUACGGUUUAGCUGCCCAGAACAUAGACUUAGAGUUUCCAGAUGCUGUAUCAGUUAUUGGAAUUUCCCACUCAGAGAGAGGUUACUGUUUAAUCUUUGCCUCCGAAAUCAUGCGCACCUUUGCAGUAGAAGAUGGACUUACUGAGGAGGCAACCUUAGCCUUGCUACGUGCUCACAGAUGUCACAAGCUCUUUACACAUAGCUCCUUACAUGUUCAGUCAUCAGACAAUGGAAGUUGGGGAAAACGUGGUUUACUAUGGAAUGAAUGCCAAAGGCUGCACUAUGAAUGGUAUGAAAACGAUCCCAUUGACGACCUGCUCGCUAGAGUAAGAGAUAUCUAUGGUCUAGAUGGAUUGGCAGAAUUUCGAGAAAUAUUAGUUCCACCAGGAGAGAGGCCACGACCCCUCUACGUCGGCACUGCCUCUCAAAUAGGAAUUAUACCCACCACAGGAGUCCCCAGCUUGCUGGACGCGGUUCUUCCGAAAGAGGCCAAUCAUUUGUGUGUUUCGUAUCUUCGGAAUCUAUUGUUGCAUCCCCCUCCUUACCGAGUGGCGGAGUGUAUGCAAGGGGCCUGCGCGGCUCUUAGCGGGAUCACGAGCUCUGUCCCAGAUUUCACGUGUGUGUCAGCGGCUAAGCUGAAAAGGUUGGUAGAGGCCAAGGAAGCGAAUCACGUUGAGUUGUCGAGAAUUCGGCGAUUGGCGGAAGAUGUCCUUUACAUGAGCAGUAACUCUCUACUAUCUGGUGUUCUGGACCAGCUGCUUGAACCGGCUUGGUUGGCUACAGGCCUUCGUAUUGGAAGAAAACAGUUGAUUUCUGAUUGCAAGAUGCUUUCGGGCAAAUUGGGGCAAAUGCUAGCAUCUGAGGGUGACCAGGAUCAAACGAGGAGCCAGGGUGCAGGGAUUCCUGACGACUUUUUCAGGGACUUGGAGGACGGUUGGAGAGGCCGUGUGAAGCGAGAGCAUGCUGAAGAGGUCUAUAGAGAAGUCGAUGAUGCAGCCAAUGAGCUCAUCAAUGCAAUUAACGACGAUUUCUGUCCAAUUGUGUCGCGCAUGGAAGAGGACAAUGUUAAGGGCUUGAAAGUUGAAAUAUGCUACAGCUAUGAGGAUCAAGCCGUGUGGCUUCAAGGAAAAAACAUCAAGUCAUUAGCAGGGGCUGAUUCUUCUCUGGUUGUAGCUCUGAAUUGCCUAGUUCCAGCCGUUGAUGCCAAGGGGAAGAAGGUGGGUGAGGAGUGGUGGACAACAAGUAAGGUUGAAAGCUCUUUAGGAAAGUAUCGUGCAGCAGUUGACAAGGCUAAUGUGAGAAUCCUAGAGUUACUUAGAGCCAUAUCAGAAGACUUACAACCUAAGAUUGAGGUGCUGAUAUUUGUCUCGACCCUGUCCAUUAUUGCAAAAACAUUAAACCUUCAUGUAACGGAAGGGUCGCGUCGUAACUGGGCUGUGCCAACACUCUCCUCAACAGAAAGGCAGAUGGUGCUUGCCGAUCUAGUGCCGUAUUGGAAUGAUCUGGCACAUGAGAAAGUGCAGCCAAAUUUGGUUGACAUGAAGUCCAUGUUCCUUCUUACAGGACCCAAUGGAGGUGGAAAGUCCAGCAUGUUGAGGUCAAUUUGUGCGGGUGCUCUUCUUGCAACCUGUGGUCUUAUGGUGCCUGCUCGUGAGGCCUCAGUGCCUCGUUUGGAUGCUAUCAUUUUGCGGAUGAUGUCCACAGAUAGUCCUGCUGAUGGCAAGAGUGCAUUUCAAAUGGAAAUGGCAGAGCUUCGAACCAUUCUGGAAGAAGCAACAAACAAAAGUCUUGUCCUGGUCGAUGAGCUUUGUCGGGGUACUGAUGUAGGAAAAGGCUCUUUUAUUGCUGCUAGUGUCAUUGAAACACUGGAUCGCAUUGGUUGCAUCGGUGUUCUCUCAACGCAUUUACAUGAUCUUUUGGACAUGGAACUCCGAACGAGUAACGUUGUACAGAAGGCCAUGGGCACAAAUGAGGUGGGUGGUCGUUAUUACCCAACAUGGAAAUUGGUCGAUGGUGCCUGUAGGGAGAGUCUAGCCUUUGAAGUGGCUCGGAAGGAAGGGGUUCCUACAGGUGUAGUAGACAGAGCAGAAGAACUUUGUGUCACUAAGCUCUUAUACCCAAACGGUGUAAAUGCUCCUGAUCAUUACAAUGAGCAUGCUGGAGAGAAAACACCGAAGAGCAGUGAUGACGAUAGGAUGACUGCCGAGAAACUCUUUCUUAUGAUCGCAAGAUUUGUGAUCAAAUUCGCCAAGUCCUAAAACAUCUGAAGAUGAGCUACAUAUUGCCAACGUCAGAGCAAGAAAGACUUCUGCGUACCGCGUGUGGACCUACAAGCUGUUCAUUACUUGCGACUUUUACUAUUUGGGGAGCAUUGUAGGCGGCACAAGGGGAUCUUGGAAGGCUCAGUUUUCACCUUAAAAGUGUUGCUGUUUGAAAUAUGGGCGUGGAAGUUUUGCAGCGGAAGCCAGAAGCCUAAUUGUACAUCUCCAGGACUUUCAGAUUCUUCAACGUCUUGCACAUGUACUAGCAGAGGACCCAUGUUUGGUUUCAGGAUCUCUUUUUUGCAUCUGACAUCUUGUAUGGAUAAAGCACUCAGUCGGGUUUUUCAGUUGGGUGUUCUCCCUGCAAUCGUCCAGAUGCAUUUCGUUUUGGAUUAUUGUACCAGAGAUAGCAUCAAGGAGUCUAUGUCUUCGAAUAAUGUAGGUAAGUCUCAGAUCGUACUCAUUUAGCUGAGGUGAGAUUAUCAUUUAUCUUAACAGGGAGCCUAUUUGUCUUUCGGCUUCCACAUUCGACAUUGAACAUUUAAUCCAACAGUUUAUUAUCAAA
Molecule: non-coding RNA, 4797 nt
Organism: Physcomitrium patens
Lineage: Eukaryota; Viridiplantae; Streptophyta; Bryopsida; Funariales; Funariaceae
Source: RefSeq, a predicted model, not a curated record